GUGGACGUGCCGGAGUGGUUAUCGGGCAUGACUAGAAAUCAUGACGUAGAUUCGAAUCCUGCCGUCCACA
Molecule: non-coding RNA, 70 nt
Organism: Thalictrum thalictroides
Lineage: Eukaryota; Viridiplantae; Streptophyta; Magnoliopsida; Ranunculales; Ranunculaceae
Source: the annotation of a GenBank genome assembly